This 1031-nucleotide long non-coding RNA is filed under the name Mus spicilegus (steppe mouse). RNAcentral describes it as "lncRNA (ENSMSIG00000015185.1)". Lineage: Eukaryota; Metazoa; Chordata; Mammalia; Rodentia; Muridae. The record is from RNAcentral.
GAGAAGGCCAGUGGUGGUAGUGCCUGUCCAAGCUUGAGCCUAAGAAUCUGGAGGGCAGAUCCCUCUGCAGGGAGAAGAUGGGUCUCAGCUCAAGUAGAGAGUGAACUCACCAUUCCUGUAUCUUUUUGUUCCAUUAAGGCCUUCAGUAGACUGAAUGAUGCUGGCCUGACCUGUUGAGGAUGAAUUCUGCUUAGCCUUUGCUGAUUCAAAGGAUAGACUCAUCUGAAAAUAUCCUAACAUAUUCCCAGAGAUAUUUUACCAGUGAUGUGGGCAUCCUUAGCUCGGUUUAGAUGGCUCAUAAAAGCAAUCACGACAAUGAUAUAAAAGGAAACAUUUUUUAAUAGAUAUUAAAUUAGGAAAAAAAAUCCGUAAAGCAGAUAACUAGACAUCAACGAUCCUAAAGUUGGUGGUAUGAACUGAUGAUUUAUCUCUGUUAAACUUCUAGCCUUGAUGGUGGGAAGAAAUCUACACCACCGAAUGUUCAUUUCACAAUGAGGUACAAAACAGAAAAGGAAAAAAAAAAUCUUGUUUCUCUCACAUUCAUACCUCACUUUCAAGGCUCAAAAUAAAAAUGAUUUGGCUGGCUUCAUAUGGAAGAAGGUGUAGUUCUGAUGACUCAGUGCAGGCUUUGGAUUAAACUCAGCUGCUUCCGGACUCUAGAAAAGGAGCCCCAUCUAAGCUUUGCAGUUCUGUGUUCUCUGAAGAUGGGAUGCCAAGCGCUCAAGUUUCCUACAGAAACUGUGUGAAUUCCAUCAGUUAAAAGUGUGCCCAAAACUAUGGCUCUCGAAUGAAGCACAGAAGGGCCUGUUCAACUCCACUGUUGGAUGUCACAGAACUAUCUAAGAGGUCCCUGGGGAUGAAAAGCAAGCACUCAGUUGCUGAUGAGGAGAGCGUGUGGAGGGGACACCAGAGCAUCUCUAAAACACGUCGAAGAUGGAAGGAAAAUAAGAACCUUGAAGAUCCUUUUAGGAUUUCCCCAGUGAACACAGAUAUACAUCUGAUAAUUUUGAUUUUUGUCUACUGACUGCAGA